ACGAACGCUGGCGGCGUGCUUAACACAUGCAAGUCGAACGGAAAGGCCCCCUUGUGGGGUACUCGAGUGGCGCACGGGUGAGUAACACGUGAGUAACCUACCCUUGACUUUGGGAUAACUUCAGGAAACUGGGGCUAAUACCGGAUAGGAGCUCCUGCUGCAUGGUGGGGGUUGGAAAGUUUCGGCGGUUUGGGAUGGACUCGCGGCUUAUCAGCUUGUUGGUGGGGUAGUGGCUCACCAAGGCUUUGACGGGUAGCCGGCCUGAGAGGGUGACCGGCCACAUUGGGACUGAGAUACGGCCCAGACUCCUACGGGAGGCAGCAGUGGGGAAUAUUGCACAAUGGGCGGAAGCCUGAUGCAGCAACGCCGCGUGCGGGAUGACGGCCUUCGGGUUGUAAACCGCUUUCGCCUGUGACGAAGCGUGAGUGACGGUAAUGGGUAAAGAAGCACCGGCUAACUACGUG
This 464-nucleotide ribosomal RNA is filed under the name uncultured bacterium. RNAcentral describes it as "partial 16S ribosomal RNA". It matches the Rfam family "Bacterial small subunit ribosomal RNA", at positions 29 to 507 of the family's 1533-position model. The record is from RNAcentral.